AGAGUUUGAUCCUGGCUCAGAAUGAACGCUGGCGGCGUGCUUAACACAUGCAAGUCGAACGAGAAAGGGAUUGCUUGCAAUCCUGAGUAGAGUGGCGCACGGGUGAGUAACACGUAGAUAAUCUACCUUUGARCCYGGGAUAACUAAUCGAAAGGUUAGCUAAUACCGGAUGARGUUAAUMGRCRUARGUUKAUUGAUGAAAGACUGCCUAUCCUUGGAAGCAGUUGUUUGRAGAUGAGUUUGCGGACCAUUAGYUAGUUGGUGGGGUAAMGGCCYACCAAGGCKAYGAYSRKUAGCUGGUCUGAGAGGAUGAUCAGCCACACUGGAACUGARACACGGUCCAGACUCCUACGGGAGGCAGCAGUGAGGAAUWUUGGGCAAUGGACGCAAGUCUGACCCAGCAACGCCGCGUGAAGGAUGAAUGUCGUAAGAUUGUAAACUUCUGUGAGAAGGGACGAAAAAACRGGCUCAUACCCYGUUCUGACGGUACCUUCAGAGGAAGCCCCGGCUAACUACGUGCCAGCAGCCGCGGUAAUACGUAGGGGGCUAGCGUUGUCCGGAUUUACUGGGUGUAAAGGGCGCGUAGGUGGACUUGUCAGUCAGAGGUGAAACCCUGYAGCUUAACUGCAGAACUGCCUUUGAUACUGCAAGCCUUGAGUCUAGAAGAGAAAAGCGGAAUUCCAGGUGUAGUGGUGAAAUAYGUAGAUAUCUGGAAGAACACCAGUUGCGAAGGCGGCUUUUUGGUCUAGAACUGACACUGAGGCGCGAAAGCGUGGGUAGCAAACAGGAUUAGAUACCCUGGUAGUCC
Molecule: ribosomal RNA, 808 nt
Filed under: uncultured bacterium
Lineage: Bacteria
Description: partial 16S ribosomal RNA
Rfam family: Bacterial small subunit ribosomal RNA
Source: RNAcentral